AGACCUUUAGUUUGAACCCCGAAACCAGGUGAGCUACCCCGAGACAGCCUAUAUUGAUUUAGGGCUAACCCGUCUCUGUGGCAAAAGAGUGGGAAGAGCUCCGGGUAGAAGUGACAGACCUACCGAACCUGGUGAUAGCUGGUUGCCUGAGAAGUGGAUAGAAGUUCAGCCUCGCACACCCCAAGCCAGAGAAUACACCGCUAAGGCACUCAGGGAAAUGUGGGAGAGUUAGUUAAAGGGGGUACAGCCCCUUUAACAAAGGAUACAACCUUUGCAGGAGGAUAAAGAUCAUAAUAUAUAAAACAUGCUGCUCUAGUGGGCCUAAAGGCAGCCACCUAAACAGAAAGCGUUAAAGCUCAGGCAGAAAGAAGUUUAUUAUACCGAUAAAAAAUCUUACUCCCCUAAUUAUAUCAGGCCAACCCAUGCCAACAUGGAAGAGAUUAUGCUAAAAUGAGUAACAAGAAGACCUGCUCUUCUCCCAGCACAAGUGUAAGCCAGAUCGGACUAGCCGCUGGAACUUAACGAACCCAACCCAAGAGGGUAGUGUGAAUAGUACAGACCCCAAGAAGAACUCACAACUAAACAAUCGUUAACCCCACACUGGAGUGCUAUUGUAAAGGAAAGACUAAAAGAGGGGGAAGGAACUCGGCAAACACAAGCCUCGCCUGUUUACCAAAAACAUCGCCUCCUGCAACUAUAUUGAGUAUAGGAGGUCCAGCCUGCCCAGUGACUACGGGUUCAACGGCCGCGGUAUUUUGACCGUGCAAAGGUAGCGCAAUCACUUGUCUCUUAAAUAGAGACCUGUAUGAAUGGCUAGACGAGGGCUUAACUGUCUCCCCCCUCCAGUCAGUGAAAUUGAUCUAUCCGUGCAGAAGCGGGUAUAAUUAUACAAGACGAGAAGACCCUUUGGAGCUUAAGGUACAAAAUCCAACCACGUUAAACGACCCCCUAAAGGGCAAGAACUUAGUGGCCAAUGAAGUUUUACCUUCGGUUGGGGCGACCACGGAGGAGAAAAAAGCCUCCGAGUGGACUGGGUUAAAACCCAAAGCUAAGAGAUACAUCUCUAAGCCGCAGAACAUCUGACCAAAAGUGAUCCGGCUAAAAAGCCGAUCAACGAACCAAGUUACCCUAGGGAUAACAGCGCAAUCCUCUCCCAGAGUCCAUAUCGACGAGGGGGUUUACGACCUCGAUGUUGGAUCAGGACAUCCUAAUGGUGCAGCCGCUAUUAAGGGU
RNAcentral lists this ribosomal RNA (1233 nucleotides) under Alburnus tarichi (tarek). Its description in RNAcentral is "partial large subunit ribosomal RNA". It matches the Rfam family "Bacterial large subunit ribosomal RNA", at positions 698 to 2572 of the family's 2925-position model. Lineage: Eukaryota; Metazoa; Chordata; Actinopteri; Cypriniformes; Leuciscidae. The record is from RNAcentral.